AUGGCCACUCUACAGGUGGAUCUAGCCACUCUACAGGUGGGUCUAACCACACCCUCCCCCCACACUGCUGCCUCACAAAUGGGCCUCAUCCAUCCACAGGUGGGGCUACUCAUCCCAGGGGAAUCUGGUCACCCACACAGGUGGAUCAAGUACCCCACAAGUGAAUCAUCACCUCAUAGGAACCCUGCCCACGAUGAAAGCCUGUCCAGCAUUUGAUGAGCUCUUCUUUCCACCUGCUCCUGCCCAGUGAUGAAACUGUGGGCUACUAGCCCCAUUUCACAGAAAAGAAAACAGAGGUUCCAAGAGGCUUGUGAGUGGCUGAGUCCCUGAGCUCCAGCUAGAACCUUACAACUCAAGUAACUGUUGGCGCCUACCCAACACUUGAAGUUGAGGUCUAGGAGCCAAAGGAACCCCAGACCUUGGGGCCGGAGAAGGCUCUGUUGAAAAAUGGACUCAUCUGAGCUCCUAGAAUCUGGAUUCUUCCAUCUGCCCGAAUCCUGUGGAAGAGGAAACAAAACAGAAGCGGGUCCCGAUACUUUGGUUUUAUGGCUGAUUUUCUUAUAAUCCACCCUACCUCGACACGAAGUUAAUUCUUUGUGUGUUUACGUGCAUCUAUGUUUUCAGGUGUGUGUGUGUGUGUGUGUUUGUGUGUGUGUGCUCAUGCACAUGAGGGGGUACAGAAUACAACUAAAAUGCCAUUCCUUAGGUGCUAUCUACUUUGAUUUUUUUUAAAUUAAAAACAUUCAUUUGCUCUGAGUGUGUGUGUGUAUGUGUGUGUGUGAUUUGUGUGUCUGAGAGUGGAUGUGUUGUGUGUGUCUCUCCAUGUGUUGUGUGUGUG
This 838-nucleotide long non-coding RNA is filed under the name Mus spicilegus (steppe mouse). Its description in RNAcentral is "lncRNA (ENSMSIG00000025503.1)". The record is from RNAcentral. Lineage: Eukaryota; Metazoa; Chordata; Mammalia; Rodentia; Muridae.